GCUGGGUUUGAUGGCGACCGGCGCACGGGUGAGUAACGCGUAUCCAACCUGCCCUUUACUCCGGGAUAGUCUCCUGAAAGGGAGUUUAAUACCGGAUGUGUUUGUCUUUCCGCAUGGGAGCGACAAAUAAAGAUUGAUUGGUAAAGGAUGGGGAUGCGUCCCAUUAGCUUGUUGGCGGGGUAACGGCCCACCAAGGCGACGAUGGGUAGGGGUUCUGAGAGGAAGGUCCCCCACAUUGGAACUGAGACACGGUCCAAACUCCUACGGGAGGCAGCAGUGAGGAAUAUUGGUCAAUGGGCGGGAGCCUGAACCAGCCAAGUAGCGUGAAGGAUGACGGCCCUACGGGUUGUAAACUUCUUUUAUAAGGGAAUAAAGUUCGCCACGUGUGGUGUUUUGUAUGUACCUUAUGAAUAAGCAUCGGCUAAUUCCGUGCCAGCAGCCGCGGUAAUACGGAAGAUGCGAGCGUUAUCCGGAUUUAUUGGGUUUAAAGGGAGCGUAGGCGGGCUUUUAAGUCAGCGGUCAAAUGCCACGGCUCAACCGUGGCCAGCCGUUGAAACUGCAAGCCUUGAGUCUGCACAGGGCACAUGGAAUUCGUGGUGUAGCGGUGAAAUGCUUAGAUAUCACGAAGAA
Molecule: ribosomal RNA, 630 nt
Filed under: uncultured Bacteroidales bacterium
Lineage: Bacteria; Pseudomonadati; Bacteroidota; Bacteroidia; Bacteroidales
Description: bacterial SSU rRNA
Rfam family: Bacterial small subunit ribosomal RNA
Source: RNAcentral